Molecule: ribosomal RNA, 274 nt
Filed under: uncultured bacterium
Lineage: Bacteria
Description: partial 16S ribosomal RNA
Rfam family: Bacterial small subunit ribosomal RNA
Source: RNAcentral
AUACGGAGGGGGCUAGCGUUGUUCGGAUUUACUGGGCGUAAAGCGAGUGUAGGCGGUUUGACAAGUCGAAUGUGAAAUCCCGAGGCCCAACCUCGGAACUGCAUCCGAAACUGUCAGGCUAGAGUCCCGGAGAGGAUGGCGGAAUUCCCGGUGUAGGGGUGAAAUCCGUAGAUAUCGGGAGGAACACCAGUGGCGAAGGCGGCCAUCUGGACGGUGACUGACGCUGAGACUCGAAAGCGUGGGUAGCAAACAGGAUUAGAUACCCCAGUAGUCC